Molecule: long non-coding RNA, 242 nt
Filed under: Felis catus (domestic cat)
Lineage: Eukaryota; Metazoa; Chordata; Mammalia; Carnivora; Felidae
Description: lncRNA (ENSFCAG00000044417.2)
Source: RNAcentral
CUGCAUCAGACAGAUGGGAGCCCCAGAUAGAAUUUAAGUCCACUUUACGGGAAACUUGAAAAGUUACAAUUUUGUAUACUUGAGUUAGUGACUAUAAAAUUCAUACCAUCCAAACUGUAAUAGCUUGAAUGCACAAGGGCAUUUACUGUCUUCUGUCUCGACAGGUGUAUGGAUAAGCCCUCUGUUAUCUCAUUCGAUUCUACUCCUGAAGACACCUUUUAUAUUUAGGUCUGUGAUCUAUU